Molecule: non-coding RNA, 78 nt
Organism: Pelobates cultripes (western spadefoot toad)
Lineage: Eukaryota; Metazoa; Chordata; Amphibia; Anura; Pelobatidae
Source: the annotation of a GenBank genome assembly
UGUGUGUGUGUGUGUGUGUGUGCGUGUGUGUGUGUAUACACACACACACACACACGCACACACACACACACACACAUG